This 320-nucleotide ribosomal RNA is filed under the name uncultured eukaryote. RNAcentral describes it as "partial 18S ribosomal RNA". It matches the Rfam family "Eukaryotic small subunit ribosomal RNA", at positions 1470 to 1796 of the family's 1831-position model. The record is from RNAcentral.
CCCCUAGAUGUUCUGGGCCGCACGCGCGCUACACUGAACAGUUCAACAAGUCUUAACCUUGGCCGAUAGGUCUGGGUAAUCUUUGAACGCUGUUCGUGAUUGGGAUAGACCUUUGCAAUUAUGGGUCUUCAACGAGGAAUUCCUAGUAAACGCAAGUCAUCAGCUUGCAUUGAUUACGUCCCUGCCCUUUGUACACACCGCCCGUCGCACCUACCAAUUGAAUGGUCCGGUGAAAUCUCGGGACGGCGGCUUGGUCGCUUGCGUCCGACUGCUGAAACUUGAUUAAACCAUAUCAUUUAGAGGAAGGUGAAGUCGUAACA